GUUCCCCUGCUGUAUUCGUGAUGCGUGGAUGAUCUUGAGCCAAUACGAAUUGAACGGGAGCUGUCCCUGGUCGUGACGGUAUAUUCCCAUCACGGGAAAAACUUUAAGCGGUUACAUGGCGCCCACCUAUUGUGAGAUAGGUUCAGAUUCAAUUCCUGCACACGGUACAUGCGGGGGAACU
RNAcentral lists this non-coding RNA (181 nucleotides) under bacterium. RNAcentral's name for it is "6S RNA". It matches the Rfam family "6S / SsrS RNA". From Rfam's summary of the family: E. coli 6S RNA was the first non coding RNA to be sequenced, but its function was unknown until recently. It consists of 184 nucleotides that fold into an extended hairpin structure with a large single-stranded internal bulge. The record is from RNAcentral.